RNAcentral lists this ribosomal RNA (490 nucleotides) under uncultured bacterium. Its description in RNAcentral is "partial 16S ribosomal RNA". It matches the Rfam family "Bacterial small subunit ribosomal RNA", at positions 28 to 507 of the family's 1533-position model. The record is from RNAcentral.
GAUGAACGCUAGCGGCAGGCCUAAUACAUGCAAGUCGAACGGGAUUGCGGUAGUAGCUUGCUACUACUGCAUGAGAGUGGCGCACGGGUGCGUAACGCGUGAGCAACCUACCCAUAUCAGGGGGAUAGCCCGGCGAAAGUCGGAUUAACACCGCAUAACAUCAACAGUUCGCAUGUUCAGUUGAUUAAAUAUUUAUAGGAUAUGGAUGGGCUCGCGUGACAUUAGCUAGUUGGUAGGGUAACGGCUUACCAAGGCAACGAUGUCUAGGGGCUCUGAGAGGAGAAUCCCCCACACUGGUACUGAGACACGGACCAGACUCCUACGGGAGGCAGCAGUAAGGAAUAUUGGUCAAUGGGCGCAAGCCUGAACCAGCCAUGCCGCGUGCAGGAGGACUGCCCUAUGGGUUGUAAACUGCUUUUAUCAGGGAAUAAACCCCUUUACGAGUAGAGGGUUGAAUGUACCUGAAGAAUAAGGAGCGGCUAACUCCGUG